GAUGAACGCUAGCGGGAGGCCUAACACAUGCAAGCCGAGCGGUAGAAAGUAGCUUGCUACUUUUGAGAGCGGCGUACGGGUGCGGAACACGUGUGCAACCUGCCUUUAUCUGGGGAAUAGCCUUUCGAAAGGAAGAUUAAUGCCCCAUAACAUAUUGAUUGGCAUCAAUUAAUAUUGAAAGCUCCGGCGGAUAGAGAUGGGCACGCGCAAGAUUAGCUAGUUGGUGAGGUAACGGCUCACCAAGGCGAUGAUCUUUAGGGGGCCUGAGAGGGUGAUCCCCCACACUGGUACUGAGACACGGACCAGACUCCUACGGGAGGCAGCAGUGAGGAAUAUUGGACAAUGGGUGCAAGCCUGAUCCAGCCAUCCCGCGUGAAGGAUGACGGCCCUAUGGGUUGUAAACUUCUUUUAUACAGGGAUAAACCUACUUACGUGUAAGUAGCUGAAGGUACUGGAUGAAUAAGCACCGGCUAACUCCGUG
RNAcentral lists this ribosomal RNA (481 nucleotides) under uncultured bacterium. Its description in RNAcentral is "partial 16S ribosomal RNA". It matches the Rfam family "Bacterial small subunit ribosomal RNA", at positions 28 to 507 of the family's 1533-position model. The record is from RNAcentral.